Long non-coding RNA from Thalassophryne amazonica, 89 nucleotides. RefSeq lists it as uncharacterized. NCBI's taxonomy places the organism in Eukaryota, Metazoa, Chordata, Actinopteri, Batrachoidiformes, Batrachoididae. The transcript is spliced from 3 exons. The record is from RefSeq and is a predicted model, not a curated record.
AGAUGCGUCCCUAUACUGUCUACUGGUUGCUAGUGCAGGCUAAUGAGUUUGAAAACCCUAAUUUUUGUGAAAUAUAGAUUGCAGAUCAC